Molecule: long non-coding RNA, 1471 nt
Organism: Saimiri boliviensis boliviensis (Bolivian squirrel monkey)
Lineage: Eukaryota; Metazoa; Chordata; Mammalia; Primates; Cebidae
Source: RefSeq, a predicted model, not a curated record
GACGCCGGCCCCGCUCUGGGCGUCACUGCGCGCCCCGGCUAAGCGCGCUCCGGCAUCCGUGCGAGACGCGCGCGCCCGCCGCCGCGGGGGGCUCCCGCCGCCGACCCGGGACUGGCGAGAAGGGAGGCGGCGGAGGGGACGCCGCGCCCGAGCCGCUCCUCUGGAUGGCGACAGAGACGGCCUGGCGCGCCCGCAGCCUGGGCACCCCGGGAGGACGGCCUGGCCGGGUGAAGUUUGCGGACUCGGGCCUUCCGGGUCCCCCUCUGCCGCCGCCGCCGAGGCCUGGAAGGCUGAGGGUGGGGGCCAGACGUCUCCUAAGGUUGGCGGCUGAUAGAACUCCUGCCCCGGGACUCACAAGAUCUCCAUCUGGCACAGGGGCUGGGGCCUUGAGCACCCCGCGAACUUCUUUUGGAGCCAGAGACGCUUUUCUGAGGAGCCAGUAGAGGGCCUGCGAGUCGGAUUGAGCAACCAGCGAGAAGCAGCGUCCUCCCUGCAUCUUGAGGCCUGGUCCAGAUUACACCUGCUCAAGUGACAACAGAAGGUGGACCCAGCCCAUCAUUUCUAUCUCGGUCCAGUGGAAAGCUGAUGAGUUGGACUGUAUGCCUCCGUCCUAAUGAGCAAGCGUGCACGGAGCCCCCGUCACAGCGGUGAUGGUGCUUUCACUUGACUCUGGCUGUCUCAGCUGCCUGCCGCCGUGUAAGGCAUGCCUUCCACCUUCCACCAGGACUGUGCAGCUUCCUUAGCCCCGUGGAACUGUUGGGAUAAUUUUUUUCUCCUUUUGUAAUGUUGAAAAUCUAAAGUAAAACUCAAACCUGCCUCCUUCCAAAAUCUAAUAUCAUGUGACUCCAGGAGAAGGGGUGACAGAGGAAGAGCCCUGCACCAGCUCCCCCGGUUCUACCCCAAGCCCAUGUUCCCAGAUUCUGUACGUCCUACGGGACGUCCCACCUGGAGCCAAGCACGGCCCCAGGAAGCCUUGUCUGAGAAGCUCCCGGCGCAUUGCGAUGAGGUGGGGCAGGUCCCUCGGGCGGAGGGUGUAUGCAGCAACCAGGAGGAUACAUCAGAAAAGGUGAAGAAAACAGCCUUUCAGUUUUUAAAAAGAAAAAAACAUUUAAGAAGAAAACCCCUAACUAGCACCCCACGCCAGGACGGACGGUCCCAGCGCCCGGGGAGCCUCUGUCCUCACUCCAGUCCUGUGUGCGCGGGAGGAGGUGCGUUCCUGCGUGACUCCCCCUGUGGCUGACUUUCUCCUCUGAGGCCAGCUAAAUGCUCCCCGGUGUGUGGUCCAUUGUUGACGAGCCUCAGGCCUUUAACUCUUCGUUGGAUUUGGAAGGUAUCUUUGCACCUGUGUGAGUCGGAAUCCAGCUGAAUCUUAACUGCGAAGGCUGCUUUCCCCAAUCUCUUUUGUGGAACCAUCCACCCUCCCGCGUUGUCUUGUAACUCCCUGUAACCUCUGCCUCCCGGGUUCAGGUGA